This 500-nucleotide ribosomal RNA is filed under the name uncultured bacterium. RNAcentral's name for it is "partial 16S ribosomal RNA". It matches the Rfam family "Bacterial small subunit ribosomal RNA", at positions 38 to 507 of the family's 1533-position model. The record is from RNAcentral.
GGGGGGGGGGGGGGGGGGGGCGGGGGCGGGGGGGGCGAGGGGGCGUGCCGGGGGGGUUGCACGCCGGGAGGUUGGCGGCGGGCGGGUGAGUAACACGUAGGCAACCUGCCCAUAAGACCGGGAUAACAUUCGGAAACGAAUGCUAAUACCGGAUAGACGGACCUCUCGCAUGAGGGGAUCGGGAAAGGCGGAGCAAUCUGCCGCUUAUGGAUGGGCCUGCGGCGCAUUAGCUGGGUGGUGGGGUAACGGCCUACCAAGGCGACGAUGCGUAGCCGACCUGAGAGGGUGAUCGGCCACACUGGGACUGAGACACGGCCCAGACUCCUACGGGAGGCAGCAGUAGGGAAUCUUCCGCAAUGGACGCAAGUCUGACGGAGCAACGCCGCGUGAGUGAGGAAGGCCUUCGGGUCGUAAAGCUCUGUUGCCAGGGAAGAACGGGUAGGGGAGUAACUGCCCUUGCCAUGACGGUACCUGAGAAGAAAGCCCCGGCUAACUACGUG